Providencia sneebia DSM 19967 is the source of this 88-nucleotide small RNA. It matches the Rfam family "CyaR/Rye RNA". From Rfam's summary of the family: This sRNA was originally identified in a large scale screen of E. coli. It was shown to bind Hfq and called RyeE. This sRNA has since been characterised as a post-transcriptional regulator of the 18 kDa OmpX porin in Salmonella. The record is from Rfam. Lineage: Bacteria; Pseudomonadati; Pseudomonadota; Gammaproteobacteria; Enterobacterales; Morganellaceae.
CUCACGAAAAUGAAGAACUAGAAAGUCAUAUAUUAAGACUAGGAACCACCUCCUUGGCUGGCUCAAUCUCCCUUGAGCUAGCCAUUUC